Molecule: ribosomal RNA, 153 nt
Filed under: Selaginella diffusa
Lineage: Eukaryota; Viridiplantae; Streptophyta; Lycopodiopsida; Selaginellales; Selaginellaceae
Also listed under: 1 other name
Description: 5.8S ribosomal RNA
Rfam family: 5.8S ribosomal RNA
About the family: 5.8S ribosomal RNA (5.8S rRNA) is a component of the large subunit of the eukaryotic ribosome. It is transcribed by RNA polymerase I as part of the 45S precursor that also contains 18S and 28S rRNA. Functionally, it is thought that 5.8S rRNA may be involved in ribosome translocation.
Source: RNAcentral
ACUCUCAGCAACGGAUAUCUCGGCUCUUGUAACGAUGAAGAACGCAGCGAAAUGCGAUACAUGAUGUGAAUUGCAGAAUUCCGUGAAUCAUCGAAUCUUUGAACGCAACUUGCGCCCGAGGCUUUUGCCAAGGGCAUGUCUGCUUGAGCGUCU